AUGACAUGCGUCGCUGCCCUUGUUUUGAAGGCCGUUCCCCAGCAUGUGAAUGAACAUUAUGAGUGGAGACUUACGUCAGGAAAACUGCCUAUCUUCAAGGAGCUGGAAAAUGAAGCCCUCACUCCCACAUUCGAGGACCAGAGCAUGACCGAUGGCCGUACUCAUUCUCCACAUGAAAAUUCAGUCCGUACCACAAAUGAUGCGAAGGAAGCGACAAGUAAAGCUCCUCCUGACACGAGGGACUCGUCCAGGAUUUCCCUGCCUCUCGGCGGGGCGACCGUCGAUCUGCCUGGACCCUCGUUGUCUUAG
This 309-nucleotide ribosomal RNA is filed under the name Triticum aestivum (bread wheat). RNAcentral describes it as "partial small subunit ribosomal RNA". Lineage: Eukaryota; Viridiplantae; Streptophyta; Magnoliopsida; Poales; Poaceae. The record is from RNAcentral.